UCUAACAUCAUACUAAUAUAGUUCAGCUCAUGUGCUUCAUAUGAAGGAAAAACUAAACAGUGUCGUCAGCGUUUACUCCCUCAUGUUUUCACACCUGCUGCGUUAGCAAGUGCAGAGGAAAGAACAACAUCACAUGUCGUCGUUAAAGGACCAUUUUCCACUAAUUUCAGUGUUUCUCAUUUAUUUAUAAUUUAAUCAAAUAUCCCUCGUAAAGACGUCUCACUGCAAGUUCUCACUUUUUCUUUAAUUGUUUUUUAAAAAAAUUUUUUAGUCGACUCUCUCCCAGCAGGUUUUCCAGGAAAAGUCAUUCCCUUUAAUGGGAACAGACAGCAGGAAUAAUACAGUUAACCCGGGAUGACUAUCAACUGCUGAACCUCAUCAUGCCGCUCGCAGGCUCUCACUUAUGUUGUCACAGCAUCUGACCUGUUCCUCCGGCUUUCAGCUGGUUCAUGCCAAAUAAAGGGAGGGAUCGCUAAAAAGGGAAAUCAGCUUCCUCAGGUGCCAGUAGAGGGGCGAUGAGAGAGGACGCAGCGAUGAAGACACAUCUUUAAGUCCACCUGCAUACGAAGACAUCUUCCCCUUCUUCUAACAAACACACUCAGACAUAAUAAACUCUGCAGGAAUCAUCCUCUUUUCCUGUGAAUAAAUCAAA
Molecule: long non-coding RNA, 652 nt
Organism: Labrus bergylta (ballan wrasse)
Lineage: Eukaryota; Metazoa; Chordata; Actinopteri; Labriformes; Labridae
Source: RefSeq, a predicted model, not a curated record